RNAcentral lists this ribosomal RNA (1168 nucleotides) under 'Axonopus compressus' phytoplasma. RNAcentral's name for it is "bacterial SSU rRNA". It matches the Rfam family "Bacterial small subunit ribosomal RNA", at positions 189 to 1368 of the family's 1533-position model. The record is from RNAcentral. Lineage: Bacteria; Bacillati; Mycoplasmatota; Mollicutes; Acholeplasmatales; Acholeplasmataceae.
AAAGACUUUUUCGAAAGGUAUACUUAAAGAGGGGCUUGCGGCACAUUAGUUAGUUGGUAGGGUAAAAGCCUACCAAGACCAUGAUGUGUAGCUGGACUGAGAGGUUGAACAGCCACAUUGGGACUGAGACACGGCCCAAACUCCUACGGGAGGCAGCAGUAGGGAAUUUUCGGCAAUGGAGGAAACUCUGACCGAGCAACGCCGCGUGAACGAUGAAGUAUUUCGGUAUGUAAAGUUCUUUUAUUGGAGAAGAAAAAAUAGUGGAAAAACUAUCUUGACGAUAUUCAAUGAAUAAGCCCCGGCAAACUAUGUGCCAGCAGCCGCGGUAAUACAUAGGGGGCGAGCGUUAUCCGGAAUUAUUGGGCGUAAAGGGUGCGUAGGCGGUUUGGUAAGUCUAAUAGUUUAAUUUCAAGGGCUUAACACUGUUCUGCUAUAGAAACUAUCAGACUUAGAGUGAGAUAGAGGCAAGUGGAAUUCCAUGUUGUAGCGGUAAAAUGCGAAAAUAUAUGGAGGACCACCAGAAGCGUAGGCGGCUUGCUGGGUCUUAACUGACGCUGAGGCACGAAAGCGUGGGGAGCAAACAGGAUUAGAUACCCUGGUAGUCCACGCCGUAAAACGAUGAGUACUAAGUGUCGGGGAAACUCGGUACUGAAGUUAACACAUUAAAUACUCCGCCUGAGUAGUACGUACGCAAGUAUGAAACUUAAAGGAAUUGACGGGACCCCGCACAAGCGGGGGAUCAUGUUGUUUAAUUCGAAAAUACACCAAAAACCUUACCAGGUCUUGACAUACUCUGCAAAGCUAUAGCAAUAUAGCGGAGGUUAUCAGGGAUACAGGUGGUGCAUGGUUGUCGUCAGCUCGUGUCGUGAGAUGUUAGGUUAAGUCCUAAAACGAGCGCAACCCUUGUCACUAGUUGCCAGCAUGUUAUGAUGGGCACUUUAGUGAGACUGCCAAUGAAAAAUUGGAGGAAGGUGAGGAUCACGUCAAAUCAUCAUGCCCCUUAUGAUCUGGGCUACAAACGUGAUACAAUGGCUGUUACAAAGAGUAGCUAAAACGCGAGUUUAUAGCCAAUCUCAUAAAAGCAGUCUCAGUUCGGAUUGAAGUCUGCAACUCGACUUCAUGAAGUUGGAAUCGCUAGUAAUCGCGAAUCAGCAUGUCCGCGGGAAUU